CCUACGGGAGGCAGCAGUGAGGAAUAUUGGACAAUGGGCGCAAGCCUGAUCCAGCCAUGCCGCGUGCAGGAUGACGGUCCUAUGGAUUGUAAACUGCUUUUAUACGAGAAGAAACACUCCGACGUGUCGGAGCUUGACGGUAUCGUAAGAAUAAGGAUCGGCUAACUCCGUGCCAGCAGCCGCGGUAAUACGGAGGAUCCAAGCGUUAUCCGGAAUCAUUGGGUUUAAAGGGUCCGUAGGCGGUUUAAUAAGUCAGUGGUGAAAGCCCAUCGCUCAACGGUGGAACGGCCAUUGAUACUGUUAAACUUGAAUUAUUAGGAAGUAACUAGAAUAUGUAGUGUAGCGGUGAAAUGCUUAGAGAUUACAUGGAAUACCAAUUGCGAAGGCAGGUUACUACUAAUUGAUUGACGCUGAUGGACGAAAGCGUGGGUAGCGAACAGGAUUAGAUACCCUGGUAGUCCACGCCGUAAACGAUGGAUACUAGCUGUUGGGAGCAUCUCAGUGGUCGUAAGACGAAGUAGAGUAAGUAAGUACCGACCGUACGGGUAGGUUAACGGUUACGUCGAAGAAGUAGUUAAACGUUAACGAAAGGAAGUUAGUUACGGCGUUGAGACGUUAGCGACGGACGACGACGAGGGAGGAGG
RNAcentral lists this ribosomal RNA (644 nucleotides) under uncultured bacterium. RNAcentral describes it as "bacterial SSU rRNA". The stretch from base 1 to 539 matches the Rfam family "Bacterial small subunit ribosomal RNA", at positions 338 to 873 of the family's 1533-position model. The record is from RNAcentral.